Molecule: ribosomal RNA, 256 nt
Filed under: uncultured soil bacterium
Lineage: Bacteria
Description: partial 16S ribosomal RNA
Rfam family: Bacterial small subunit ribosomal RNA
Source: RNAcentral
AGGACGAACGCUGGCGGCGUGCUUAACACAUGCAAGUCAAGGGGGCCCAGCAAUGGGCAACCGGCGAACGGGUGCGUAACACGUGAGCAACCUACCGAAAUGUGGGGGAUAGCCGGCCUAACGGCCGAGUAAUACCGCAUACGCUCUCGAUGAGGCAUUUCAUUGAGAGGAAACCUACGGGACAUUUCGAGGGGCUCGCGGCCUAUCAGCUAGUUGGAGAGGUAACGGCUCACCAAGGCAACGACGGGUAGCUGGU